GAGUAAUGUCUGGGAAACUGCCUGAUGGAGGGGGAUAACUACUGGAAACGGUGGCUAAUACCGCAUAACGUCGCAAGACCAAAGAGGGGGACCUUCGGGCCUCUUGCCAUCAGAUGUGCCCAGAUGGGAUUAGCUUGUUGGUGAGGUAACGGCUCACCAAGGCGACGAUCCCUAGCUGGUCUGAGAGGAUGACCAGCCACACUGGAACUGAGACACGGUCCAGACUCCUACGGGAGGCAGCAGUGGGGAAUAUUGCACAAUGGGCGCAAGCCUGAUGCAGCCAUGCCGCGUGUAUGAAGAAGGCCUUCGGGUUGUAAAGUACUUUCAGCGGGGAGGAAGGUGUUGUGGUUAAUAACCGCAGCAAUUGACGUUACCCGCAGAAGAAGCACCGGCUAACUCCGUGCCAGCAGCCGCGGUAAUACGGAGGGUGCAAGCGUUAAUCGGAAUUACUGGGCGUAAAGCGCACGCAGGCGGUCUGUCAAGUCGGAUGUGAAAUCCCCGGGCUCAACCUGGGAACUGCAUUCGAAACUGGCAGGCUUGAGUCUUGUA
This 549-nucleotide ribosomal RNA is filed under the name Salmonella enterica. RNAcentral's name for it is "bacterial SSU rRNA". It matches the Rfam family "Bacterial small subunit ribosomal RNA", at positions 108 to 653 of the family's 1533-position model. The record is from RNAcentral. Lineage: Bacteria; Pseudomonadati; Pseudomonadota; Gammaproteobacteria; Enterobacterales; Enterobacteriaceae.